CAGUAGCCGCGGGAAUACGAAGGGGGCUAGCGUUGUUCGGAUUUACUGGGCGUAAAGCGCACGUAGGCGGAUCCUUAAGUCAGAGGUGAAAUCCCAAGGCUCAACCUUGGAACUGCCUUUGAUACUGGGGAUCUCGAGUUCGGGAGAGGUGAGUGGAACUGCGAGUGUAGAGGUGAAAUUCGUAGAUAUUCGCAAGAACACCAGUGGCGAAGGCGGCUCACUGGCCCGAUACUGACGCUGAGGUGCGAAAGCGUGGGGAGCAAACAGGAUUAGAUACCCGCGUAGUCCCUGUCUCUUAUAC
This 301-nucleotide ribosomal RNA is filed under the name uncultured bacterium. RNAcentral's name for it is "partial 16S ribosomal RNA". It matches the Rfam family "Bacterial small subunit ribosomal RNA", at positions 509 to 807 of the family's 1533-position model. The record is from RNAcentral.